ACCUUCCCUCAGGGAUCUAAACCAAUUUUCUCACCAUUGCUAAAUGCUGAACUUCCCCUGUACCCUCACAGACUAAUCACUGCAUUUAUUCAUGUAAUUCAUUUUGGCUGGAUGAUCUCCAUCUUGAUACAAUAAUGGCUGGAAUGCCUUUUCCCCCUCCUGAAGGCUGUUUUCUGCUGAACAGGUAUUUGUCCCAAACAAGAGGCACAUGAGUAAGUAAGCCUUUAGGGCAA
This 233-nucleotide long non-coding RNA is filed under the name Taeniopygia guttata (zebra finch). Its description in RNAcentral is "lncRNA (ENSTGUG00000022422.1)". The record is from RNAcentral. Lineage: Eukaryota; Metazoa; Chordata; Aves; Passeriformes; Estrildidae.